Long non-coding RNA from Harmonia axyridis, 544 nucleotides. RefSeq lists it as uncharacterized. The record is from RefSeq and is a predicted model, not a curated record. The transcript has 3 exons. Lineage: Eukaryota; Metazoa; Arthropoda; Insecta; Coleoptera; Coccinellidae.
AGCAUUUAGAGUUCCUAUAAAAAUUAACAUAAUCAGUUGACGUUCAACAAUUUCGAUAUAAGUCAAGGUUGCAAUACCACCGUGGUGCAAAUAUAGAUAACCUGUAGAAUGUUCAUGGCUACCAUAGAGGAUUUUAAUUCAUACGAGUUUUGGUAAAAUACAAUUUAUUUCUUUCAUGUCCUACUUAUCAAAAUGAUACGCCACUGGAAUAACCGGAAUAGACUGUGGGAAUCGAGAAUAGAAUAGUUUCCACUCUUGAAUCAACUUCAGGAGUACUUCUACUUCACUGUCCAUCGAAGAGCAGCCAUCAAGUUUAUUAACAUCAUAACAAUUAUAUUUGUAGAUCAUUCAAUAUACAGGUUCUUAACUGGAAACAUUGUUUUGACGUGGUGACGAAUUUGAAAUGACCCGAACGCAUUGAAGAUCAGACCGCUGAACGCCACGAAAGAAAACAAAUAAAACGACAUAUGCAAUCCCACAGAAUUAUUUAAUUCUUGGUAGAUAAACAACGAGAGACUAGCAAAAGUAACAUAGACACCAUCAG